GAGCUUCCACAGGAUGCAGGAAUAUUGCUUGUUUCCUAUUCUGAAGAUUGGAAUUUUGAUUGUGGAGUCCUUUUUCAUUACGUUCUUUUAUUUCCUUUUUAAUUUCUCUAUUUUCUAACUCAGUUUUUCUGACAUGAAGCUUGAUUCAGCCUUUAUAGACCCUUUUCACAUGACGUCAGACAACAUCCGUUUUGACUCGAUCCAGUGUAUCUUUAGUUCCGGUGUGUGUAGUUAACGCUGUUUCUGGACUCUAAAGCAGCUGCCACAAAUACGAUUUGAAGAUAUAUCACUAUUUGCAAACAGUUUUUCUUCAUCAACAUAAUCUAAACUGGAAAAAUUCCUCGCUGAUUGAUACCAGUUUGACUACGAAGGUUACACUUGAUUCUGCUGUGGUGCCUGUGGAAAGAAAGUGCAUGAAGUUUGUGCUGAGGUGGGAAAACCCUGUGGAUCACAUGGUGGGACUUUUGCUUCAAACUGCUUAUUACAGUAUACCACUGCCUCUGUCAUCCACCAGUUCACUGCAGACUGGCACCUGCCAAGGACCCUACAUGGAUGUCUUCUUCAGUUGUAAACCCUGAGUACAUAAUGUUGAAAUAAAAUUGAUAUGCUUUUCUAAAUACAUUUUCUCUAUCAAUGACUUAAAUUAACUGUGGUAAUUAUGUUUGUGUAAUGUAGUAACCAUGCACAGUGUUUAAUAUAAUUAUUACAUAGAUGUUUGCAAGAAA
Long non-coding RNA from Poecilia latipinna (sailfin molly), 725 nucleotides. RefSeq lists it as uncharacterized. NCBI's taxonomy places the organism in Eukaryota, Metazoa, Chordata, Actinopteri, Cyprinodontiformes, Poeciliidae. The record is from RefSeq and is a predicted model, not a curated record. The transcript is spliced from 2 exons.